Molecule: ribosomal RNA, 427 nt
Filed under: uncultured bacterium
Lineage: Bacteria
Description: partial 16S ribosomal RNA
Rfam family: Bacterial small subunit ribosomal RNA
Source: RNAcentral
GUGGGGAAUAUUGGGCAAUGGGCGAAAGCCUGACCCAGCAACGCCGCGUGAGGGAAGAAGGUUUUCGGAUCGUAAACCUCUGUCCUUAGUGAAGAGUAAGAGACGGUAGCUAAGGAGGAAGCCCCGGCUAACUACGUGCCAGCAGCCGCGGUAAUACGUAGGGGGCGAGCGUUGUCCGGAAUGAUUGGGCGUAAAGGGCGCGUAGGCGGCCUGUUAAGUCCGGAGUGAAAUUCCUGCUUUCAAGGUAGGAAGUGCUUUGGAAACUGGCGGGCUGGAGUGCAGGAGAGGUUAGCGGAAUUCCCGGUGUAGCGGUGAAAUGCGUAGAGAUCGGGAGGAACACCAGUGGCGAAGGCGGCUAACUGGACUGUAACUGACGCUGAGGCGCGAAAGUGUGGGGAGCAAACAGGAUUAGAAACCCUGGUAGUCC